UUCCGGUUGAUCCUGCCGGAGGCUACCGCUAUUGGAGUUCGAUUAAGCCAUGCGAGUCGCGAGUCUUAGGGACUCGGCGUACCGCUCAGUAACACGUGGGUAACCUGCCCUAUGCUGGGGGAUAACCUCGGGAAACUGAGAAUAAUACCCCAUAGUUCACCACGCCUGGAACGGUGGGUGGAUCAAAGCUCCGGCGGCAUAGGAUGGGCCUGCGGCGUAUCAGGUUGUAGGGGGUGUAAUGUACCCUCUAGCCCUCUACGCGUACGGGUGUUGAGAGACAUCGCCCGGAGAUGGAUUCUGAGACACGAAUCCAGACCCCACGGGGUGCAGCAGGCGCGAAAACUUGGCAAUGCGAGAAAUCGUGACCAGGGAACUCCAAGUGCAUCGGGUAAGACCGAUGCUUUUCUUGACUCUUCAAAGGUCUUGGAAUAAGGGGUGGGUAAGGACGGUGCCAGCCGCCGCGGUAAUACCGGCGCCCCAAGUGGUAGUCGCUUUUAUUGGGCCUAAAACGUCCGUAGCCGGUCUGGUACAUUCGUGGGUAAAUCAACCAGCUCAACUGGUUGAAUUCUGCGAGCACGGCCAGACUUGGGACCGGGAGAGGUGUGGGGUACUCUCAGGGUAGGGGUAAAAUCCUGUCAUCCUGAGGGGACCACCUGUUGCGAAGGCGCCACACUAGAACGGAUCCGACGGUCAGGGACGAAGCCUAGGGGCACGAACCGGAUUAGAUACCCGGGUAGUCCUAGGUGUAAACGCUGUGGACUUGAUGUUGGGGGCGCUCCGAGCGCACUCAGUGUCGAAGCGAAGGUGAUAAGUCCACUGCCUGGGGAGUACGGUCGCAAGGCUGAAACUUAAAGGAAUUGGCGGGGGAGCACCGCAACCUGAGGAUUGUGCGGUUUAAUUGGAGUCAACGCCGGA
RNAcentral lists this ribosomal RNA (915 nucleotides) under uncultured marine archaeon. RNAcentral describes it as "bacterial SSU rRNA". It matches the Rfam family "Archaeal small subunit ribosomal RNA", at positions 1 to 922 of the family's 1478-position model. The record is from RNAcentral.